RNAcentral lists this non-coding RNA (240 nucleotides) under Faecalibacterium prausnitzii. RNAcentral's name for it is "T-box sequence". It matches the Rfam family "T-box leader". From Rfam's summary of the family: Uncharged tRNA acts as the effector for transcription antitermination of genes in the T-box leader family. T-boxes are found upstream of many aminoacyl-tRNA synthetase genes and some amino acid biosynthetic genes usually in Gram-positive bacteria. Lineage: Bacteria; Bacillati; Bacillota; Clostridia; Eubacteriales; Oscillospiraceae. The record is from RNAcentral.
AAAUUGGCUGUGAAGAGAAGAGUACGCACCGUCUGCGCCUGACAGAAAGCCCGAAGGAUGGAACCGGGCAGGCCGCGCGGUGCCGAAGAUGGUCUUGGAGCCGCGCAGGUGAACAAUGAGUCUGCGACGGGGUGCGCCCGUUACCGCGCAAAGGCCGGUUUUUGUCGGCUAAAGGCUGCGUCCGCAAGGGCGCAGCGAAGCAAGGUGGUACCACGAAGGUUCAGCGCUCUCGUCCUUGUC